This 497-nucleotide ribosomal RNA is filed under the name uncultured bacterium. RNAcentral describes it as "partial 16S ribosomal RNA". It matches the Rfam family "Bacterial small subunit ribosomal RNA", at positions 29 to 508 of the family's 1533-position model. The record is from RNAcentral.
AUGCACGCUGGCGGCGUGCCUAAUCCAUGCAGGUCGAGCGAACAGAUGAGGAGCUUGCUCCUCUGACGUUAGCGGCGGACGGGUGAGUAACACGUGGAUAACCUACCUAUAAGACUGGGAUAACUUCGGGAAACCGGAGCUAAUACCGGAUAAUAUAUUGAACCGCAUGGUUCAAUAGUGAAAGACGGUUUUGCUGUCACUUAUAGAUGGAUCCGCGCCGCAUUAGCUAGUUGGUAAGGUAACGGCUUACCAAGGCAACGAUGCGUAGCCGACCUGAGAGGGUGAUCGGCCACACUGGAACUGAGACACGGUCCAGACUCCUACGGGAGGCAGCAGUAGGGAAUCUUCCGCAAUGGGCGAAAGCUUGACGGAGCAACGCCGCGUGAGUGAUGAAGGUCUUCGGAUCGUAAAACUCUGUUAUUAGGGAAGAACAAAUGUGUAAGUAACUAUGCACGUCUUGACGGUACCUAAUCAGAAAGCCACGGCUAACUACGUGC